GUACGAAAAUUAGCACUUAUUUGUCAAAAAAAAAUAGGUUAAUUAAAUUUUAUGCGAAAAUCGCAUACAUCUGCACGAAUUUUGUAUAAAAGCUUAUGCAUAUAUGUACAUACGUACGUAUGUAUGUAUGUAUGUAUGUAUGUGUGUACGUAUACAUGUUCAUACAUAUGGCAAAACAUAUACCCAAUUUUUUUUUUACACGCGUGCAUACACGUCUUUAAAAACAAAAAGCUGAUAUAAUAAAGUAUAUAUAAUCAAUAUUUGUAAUAAAAACAUGCCUAUUAAUUCUAAUAAACACAACAAUGACACUGAUACGAAAAAAGGUUCAAGUAAAACAAGUGAAAUGUAUGGGGAAGAGUAUGAUUAUAAAGACAACCCUAAUGUUGAUAAUGGUAAAACUGAUAAUUAUGAUGAUGAUGAUGAUGAUAUUGAUGAUACGCAUAAGUUAAUGCAAGUAUUACAUAGCUAUGAAAAUUUUCAAAAAAGAAACUUAAAUUGUGAGAGAUUAAAUCCUUAUAAAAAAAAUGAUAAAGUAACUAGGUUACACCAAACAUUAAUAAAUUUAUUAUCUAAAAGUGAACAUAAAAUGGAUAAUAAUAGUAAUAUAUAUCCAAAUAAAAAAAAAAAAAAAAAUAAUAAUUAUGAUAAAAAUGGUAAUAUAAAAAGCAAUGGAUAUGCUAAACCCGAUUCAAAUUAUAUUUUAACUAGUCGAGCAGCUAUGUGGAAAGAAGUUGAAAACAAUGAUGAUCCUGAAUAUAAUUUAAAACUGGAAAGUCCAAAAAAAAAAAAAUCAUUUAUAGAGAGGAUAACAGAUUAUAUAAGUCCAUCAUCAGAAGAUACAUUAAAUAAUCAAAAAGAUAUGACUUAUCUAGCUUUUUUUAUGAUUUUAUUUUCUGUUUGUAUAACUUGUAUAUCUGGUUUAGUUACUAUUCUUUUGAAUACAAAAAGUGAACCACUCCAUUGGAAAUAUAACACUAUGUAUAAUAAUAACAAUUAUAAAGAUGAACAGUUAAGUAAAUUCAUAAAUUUUACAAAACUUGGAAAUGAACAGAAUGCUACAGACGACUCAAAUUAUUUUCGACUGAACGAAAUGCUAGAGCAAAUCAAAAAUAGUAUGAACGAAAAUAUGAACAUGAAUGUACAGAAUAAACAAGAAACAAAUGCUUUACAUGAGUUAAAUAAUAAAAUGAAUAAUAACUAUAAAGAAUUAGAAAGUAAUAUACAAAACUUACAAAAUAAACUAAACGAAAUAGAACAUAAACUAGUUAUUAAUACAAAAAGCAUUGAUUAUUUACGGAACACUUCUAAAAAAGAAGUAGAUAUUAUAAAAAAAAAAAUACAAGACAAUUAUGACAAAUUUAAAAAUAAGUUUAAAGAGUAUAUUAAAACUAUUGAUAUGAUAAAAAAUGAUAUGAAUCAAAAAAAUAUGAUGUUAAACGAAUUUGAAAAAAAAAUUAACAUUAAUGAAAUA
Molecule: long non-coding RNA, 1471 nt
Filed under: Piliocolobus tephrosceles (Ugandan red Colobus)
Lineage: Eukaryota; Metazoa; Chordata; Mammalia; Primates; Cercopithecidae
Description: lncRNA (ENSPTEG00000012313.1)
Source: RNAcentral